GUCCAUGCUGUAAACUAUGAGAACUUGCUGUUGGACGCAUAAAGGCGUUUAGUAGCGUAGCUAACGCGAUAAGUUCUCCGCCUGGGGAGUACGGCCGCAAGGCUAAAACUCAAAGGAAUUGACGGGGGCCCGCACAAGCGGUGGAGCAUGCGGUUUAAUUCGAUGCAACGCGAAGAACCUUACCUACUCUUGAAUCCACGGAAUCCUGCAGAGAUGCGGGAGUGCCUUCGGGAACCGUGAGACAGGUGCUGCAUGGCUGUCGU
RNAcentral lists this ribosomal RNA (263 nucleotides) under uncultured bacterium. Its description in RNAcentral is "partial 16S ribosomal RNA". It matches the Rfam family "Bacterial small subunit ribosomal RNA", at positions 793 to 1055 of the family's 1533-position model. The record is from RNAcentral.